UGACAUUCCAGCUCAAGGCAUGUGUUACAUUUUUUUUUCUUUUUUUUUUUUGGUAUAUCCUGCAAUAGAGCAAUUAAAAAAAAAAAAAAAUCUUCCCUUGCGACCCUGCAAGGAGACGCUUGAGGAGUUCCGUGCGCCCGGGCGGACCAUGGCUGAGCUUAAAGUUACUCCAGGCAUCCGUGCACAGCAGGAGAGUUCGACUGUAGCCGGGGAAGGGGCAGGGGCAGGGUCUAACUGUUCACAGUCACGGCUGGAGAUUAUUCGCAGUCAACCGCCCCGAAGGAACUGUGGUCUGGAACUACUUUGGAGAUUUGAAAAAUGAAAAGAAAUGGGAACCCAAGUUACCCAGCCCGCCUCCCCCAUCUCUUUCUGAGUGUACCCACUUAGCAUAGGCAGAAAGGACAACAAUCAAAUGAAAAACAUUUCCAGGGGUGAACCCCAAAGGUCAGUCUCUGGCUUCGCCGGACAAUGGGGGUUGGGCCUCCUCUUCUCCUCCAAAGGGAUGAAGGAGUCUUAAUGAAGAGGCAUUUUCUCCGGCGAAGAUUCUAAACCCCAGCGGGUUCCACAAACUCCGGGGAAGCGAAGCUUCUGGCGCUGGGCGGAGGGAGGGGUGUCGCUCUGCGAAUCGCUGCUCUGGGACCCGGCCCCAGAGCCGCACCCGCGCCCCUCCGCUCCCCGCGCGCGACCCCGCUCGGCCGCACGCUCCCGCGCCCGCGCCCGCGCCCCCGCCCCCGCCGCGCGCACAGCCCGGCCGGCGCGCGCACCCGGCUCACAGGCGCCGCCGCGCUCCGAGCGCUCAGACCGCGGCCGCCGCCGGCCCGCGAGACCGAGUCCUGCACGCCCGACAUGCGCCUCGGCUAGCGACUCCCCGGUCCGCGAGCACCGCGCGUCCUCCCCUCGGUUAUUUCUCUCCUUCUCUCUCUUACACACGCACAGACACACGCGCGCGCGCUCACACGCACAACCUCGCGCCAGUCCAUCCUCUGGAGGAGAAAACAUUUCCUUGGCGCCCCCUCCCUCUCCAUUCAGACCCGCCGAGGAGCCGCGCGGCGGGAACCCCCAGAUCGUCUGGAAAUGCUAAUCCUAAAGCGCUUCCUCGCCUGUAUUCAGCUCCUCUGUGUUUGCCGCCUGGGUCCUAAGUAAGCUUCAUGCAUAGAAAAGACCCCACCGCUCUUUCUUCUUGUACCCAAAUGCAAACUUCUGGAGACCAGAGAGUGUGAAAAGCAUCGAGUGUGUGUGUCCAUGGUAAUCUGCUCGCUGUGUGCAGGAAGUUACAGCAGCAUUAAGCCAUGAAAAGGAUCAAUUGUUUUUGUGAAAAACCCUCAAGAUGUGCCUUGAAUUCAAAGAAUCAAGUUCAUUAAAAUCGUAAACUAUUUAUUAAUCUUUUUUUUUUUCUGAAAUGUCCUCAGUGGUCAGUGGUAUUUUAAAGAGCAAAAUGAAAAAUAUGAUGAAAACCAGAACACAAAAGAUUGUUGAAGACUGUGGAAUGAAAUUCUCAGUGUUUUUCUCUUCCUGACAAGUUUUUAGUGGACACUUGCUAUACUUCUGUGCAUGGAAUGGAAUGUAAUGUGAGAUUGAUAUCUUUCAUUCAUAUAUUUGCUUAUGUGCCAGGCUGGUUUUAUAGAUGAGACCAUCCCAGGGUUUUCUGCUAGGUUUCCCAUAGAUAAUUUGGUGGACAGGGAAUUAAGGGCAACGUGGUACAAGGGGCUGAUUAAGCUACAUUAAUUUUUGUUGGAUGUCCCAGGGAAAUGGGGGUGGGCUUUUCCCCUCUGGGGAGAGACAGCAAGGCCUGCUAUGGCAUCUCAUUAUAUGGCAUACCCACUCCUGCUGACUGGCGGGGCUCCGUCUGAGAUGGGAAGCCGAGUCUAGGCAUGGCAUAACCACCCACUCCCCUGGCCUGGAACACUACCUCAGAUCAGCAGGCGUUCCCCGCACGGCAGGGACAGCUCAUCCUCCAGACAUUGUACUACCUAGAGUUUUCAGGCAGAAAGUGAGUGCUUAGCCUCAGGCUUCUAGCUCAGAUCUUCUUGAGAAAAGCCAAGCAAUGCUCCUUGCUCUCACUCCAGAGAUGCUUCUGGGAAUUCUGCCCUUAUAAGAAACAUGCAUUUAAAUAUGAUAUGAAGCAAAACAUUUCAGUUAGUUGGAAGUACAUAGAUGUCAGCUAAAAGGUUUGUCAAUUUCUCUAAGAUAUUUUUUCUGGGGUUAAAAAUGGUAGUUUAAAAUAACGUAUAUUCCACAUCCGCAUCUCUAUUCCCGCCCUGAAAAUAGGUCCAUGUCUACCAUUUUUCUAGAUUCCAUAUAUAUGUGUUAAUAUACGACACGGAGGGGAGGGGAGGGUGGGACUAAUUGGGGAUUGGGAUUGAC
Molecule: long non-coding RNA, 2364 nt
Filed under: Cervus hanglu yarkandensis (Yarkand deer)
Lineage: Eukaryota; Metazoa; Chordata; Mammalia; Artiodactyla; Cervidae
Description: lncRNA (ENSCHYG00000024572.1)
Source: RNAcentral